Molecule: non-coding RNA, 680 nt
Organism: Saimiri boliviensis boliviensis (Bolivian squirrel monkey)
Lineage: Eukaryota; Metazoa; Chordata; Mammalia; Primates; Cebidae
Source: RefSeq, a predicted model, not a curated record
CAUCCAACAAUAUUUUUGAUGCCUAUGGUGCUAAAUGUUGGGAAUGCAAACCUGGAUAAAUGUCUAUUUCAAAUCAAUAGGAAUACUCGAACAUUCUCCCUGCUACAAUGUAAACAUCAUGAGGAAAGAGAUGUGUUGGACUUGUUCCUUGCUAUAUUUCCUGGCUCAGAACCUGGCACUGAGUAGACGUCAAGAAAUAGUUAAAUGAAUGAAUGAAUGAAUGAAUGAAUGAAUGAACUUGUGGCCUCUUAUAGAGCUGAAGGUGUCUUACCACUACUCUAAGAGCUGACAUCAGGUGGGCUUGCUGCAAAGCCAGGCACUGUACUCCACGUUGUAUUUUCAUUGUCUCUUUUAAUGAGACUUCUUUACAAUGUUUAUCUUUUAAACAACCUGAUAAGCAGCCAGUAGUCAUGGUCAGCUGUUACACUGGUAGCUGCAAACAGAGUCCAGGACACAGAACUUCCUACGGUAUCACAGCUUCAUUUUACAGGCUGCAGCUCCCACUGCCUACAUCAGAACCAUCCAUAAGCUGUGUGUUUCUUUGGGAGUUGGGGGAGUGUCUUUUGGAUGUUUAUAACUUAUGCAUCUUGAUAUUGAAUGUGCACUUAAUACAUGGAGCUUCAUAGUACUUGAUUUUGUAUACAAAAAAAAAAUGACUUAAUUAAAAUUUCUCGAAGGAA